Molecule: ribosomal RNA, 530 nt
Filed under: uncultured organism
Description: eukaryotic LSU rRNA
Rfam family: 5.8S ribosomal RNA (bases 72-225)
Source: RNAcentral
AGUGCUAACCACUGUUUAAAACCAAAUACUGAAUUUGUGAUUGCUAGUAACUGGCAAUCUUAACCAAAGAUAACUCUCAACAACGGAUAUCUUGGCUCUCGCAACGAUGAAGAACGCAGCGAAAUGCGAUACGUAGUGUGAAUUGCAGAAUUCCGUGAACCAUCGAAUCUUUGAACGCAUAUUGCGCUCGAGCCUCCGGGCAAGAGCAUGUCUGCCUCAGCGUCGGUUUACACCCUCACCCCUCCCACUUUGUUGGGUUGCUUGGCAACUUUGCCAGCAUAGGUGGUGGAUCUGGCUUCCCCAAUCUGCCGUCUGGUAGAUUGGGUUGGCUGAAGAGUAGAGGUUUAAGCAAGGACCCGUUAUGGGCUUCAACUGGAUAGGUAGCACCGGCUUGUGCCGACUACACGAAGUUGAUGCUCGUGGAUCUUGCUAGAGGCCAAGCAGGAACGUGCCCAUGGCACGUCUAAACUUUCGACCUGAGCUCAGGCAAGGCUACCCGCUGAACUUAAGCAUAUCAAUAAGCGGAGGAA